GUGGGCCUACGGGACGCAGCAGUAGGGAAUCUUCCACAAUGGACGAAAGUCUGAUGGAGCAACGCCGCGUGAGUGAAGAAGGGUUUCGGCUCGUAAAGCUCUGUUGGGAGUGGAGAAAGAUAGAGGUAGUAACUGGCCUUUAUUUGACGGUAAUUACUUAGAAAGUUACGGCUAACUACGUGCCAGCAGCCGCGGUAAUACGUAGGUGGCAAGCGUUGUCCGGAUUUAUUGGG
Molecule: ribosomal RNA, 233 nt
Filed under: uncultured bacterium
Lineage: Bacteria
Description: partial 16S ribosomal RNA
Rfam family: Bacterial small subunit ribosomal RNA
Source: RNAcentral